RNAcentral lists this ribosomal RNA (497 nucleotides) under uncultured bacterium. Its description in RNAcentral is "partial 16S ribosomal RNA". It matches the Rfam family "Bacterial small subunit ribosomal RNA", at positions 28 to 507 of the family's 1533-position model. The record is from RNAcentral.
GAUGAACGCUGGCGGCGUGCCUAAUACAUGCAAGUCGAGCGAACGGACGAGAAUCUUGCUUCUCUGAUGUUAGCGGCGGACGGGUGAGUAACACGUGGAUAACCUACCUAUAAGACUGGGAUAACUUCGGGAAACCGGAGCUAAUACCGGAUAAUAUUUUGAACCGCAUGGUUCAAAAGUGAAAGACGGUCUUUCUGUCUCUUAUAGAUGGAUCCGCGCUGCAUUAGCUAGUUGGUAAGGUAACGGCUUACCAAGGCAACGAUGCAUAGCCGACCUGAGAGGGUGAUCGGCGACACGGGAACGGAGACACGGUCCAGAAGCCUACGGGAGGCAGCAGUAGGGAAUAUUCCGCAAUGGGCGAAAGCCUGACGGAGCAACGCCGCGUGAGUGAUGAAGGUCUUCGGAUCGUAAAACUCUGUUAUUAGGGAAGAACAUAUGUGUAAGUAACUGUGCACAUAUUGACGGUACCUAAUCAGAAAGCCACGGCUAACUACGUG